AAAGAGUAGGACUAGAAGAGGCAAUAUACUGUAUCAAAUUCAUUAUUAUAUUGUGUGAAGUACAGGAUAUAUUUUCUGUGCCUACUUUGAUUAAGUGUGUUAAUUAAAUAAGCAGCUAACCUUAUUGUUGUCAUGGAGACAGCUGGGUUUCUUUGCUGUCAUGACGCCCACAUUGUCCAUGAUGAAACAAUACGCUGGGGUACUCCAGGACUGGAGUUGGGAAAGACUGCUCAAACAUAGGCAAGAUCUUUUGCAUUUAUGCCUAACAUUUCUGCCUAGCAACUUAUGCACAAUACUAAAAUGGCAAAAACAGGAGGCAAGGGACAUUGCAAUUUAGCCUAUUCUCAUUUUGCACAUAUUCAACACUGUCCGUAAAUGAACACUGGUUUUAAUGUCCAGUUGGAAACGCUGUGUAAACGAGGGUUGAAUGGCGGGAACCCGAUUACCAAGAUUUACCACUACCUUUUCCCGGGAUAAAUAACUGCGAGAAACCGAAUGAGGGUGGGGACAGACUGCCCAUCUCAGCAUUGUGACAGUUCUCCCGGUUCUGACCCCCACCUGACUCUGGACUACUUUCCUGCCUGCCUGCCUGAUCAUCCUGCCUGCCCUUCGGUACCUAUUGGAUUCUGAUCUGGUUUUGACCUUUUUCCUGUCCUUGACUUUUCUCUUGCCUACCCCUUUGGAUAAAUAAACAUUCUAAGACUCCUACCAUCUGCCUCCUGUGUGUGCAUCUGGGUCUCCUCUUGUGCCUUGAUACAGAC
Oncorhynchus tshawytscha (Chinook salmon) is the source of this 761-nucleotide long non-coding RNA. NCBI's taxonomy places the organism in Eukaryota, Metazoa, Chordata, Actinopteri, Salmoniformes, Salmonidae. The record is from Ensembl.